UACAGAGGAGCCAAGCGUUGUCUGGAUUGACUGGGCGUAAAGCGCACGCAGGCGGACGCGCGCGUGGGGUGUGAAAUCUGGCCGCUUAACGGCCAGGCGCCAUCCCAUACGGCGCGUCUGGAGUGAUGCAGAGGUCGAUGGAAUUGCCGGUGUAGUGGUGAAAUGCGUAGAGAUCGGCAGGAACACCCAGGGGGAAACCAGUCGACUGGGCAUCUACUGACGCUGAGGUGCGAGAGCGUGGGGAGCGAACCGG
RNAcentral lists this ribosomal RNA (253 nucleotides) under uncultured bacterium. Its description in RNAcentral is "partial 16S ribosomal RNA". It matches the Rfam family "Bacterial small subunit ribosomal RNA", at positions 524 to 776 of the family's 1533-position model. The record is from RNAcentral.